RNAcentral lists this long non-coding RNA (238 nucleotides) under Mytilus galloprovincialis (Mediterranean mussel). The record is from RNAcentral. Lineage: Eukaryota; Metazoa; Mollusca; Bivalvia; Mytilida; Mytilidae.
AAAAAGUUCAACAGCAUUUGACAUAAAAACUUAAUAUUUUAACUAUUUAAAAAGAUCACGCUUAUUUAAUCUGUUAAUCUCCUGUAUUUUGCAGGCCGGUAAUUCAUUAAUUGCAGAUCAGUAUGCUCAUUGAAAUUGAAGUUAUCGGAAGUAAACAUAAUGUGGGAGGACAAUUGUUUUAGAAUAUUUAUGAACUUUACAAAAGAAAUGCAUACGCAAAGGAACAUGCAUUAACAAA